Molecule: ribosomal RNA, 248 nt
Filed under: uncultured bacterium
Lineage: Bacteria
Description: partial 16S ribosomal RNA
Rfam family: Bacterial small subunit ribosomal RNA
Source: RNAcentral
AGAGAAGCGAUNCGGCGACGCAGAGCGGAACUUCAAAGCCUGUCUCAUUCGGAUUGGAGUCUGCAACCCGACUCCAUGAAGCUGGAUUCGCUAGUAAUCGCGCAUCAGCCACGGCGCGGUGAAUACGUUCCCGGGCCUUGUACACACCGCCCGUCAAGCCAUGGAAGCCGGGAGUGCCUGAAGUGUGCAACCGCAAGGAGCGCCCUAAGGUAAAACCGGUGACUGGGGCUAAGUCGUAACAAGGUAUC